This 450-nucleotide ribosomal RNA is filed under the name uncultured bacterium. RNAcentral describes it as "partial 16S ribosomal RNA". It matches the Rfam family "Bacterial small subunit ribosomal RNA", at positions 354 to 796 of the family's 1533-position model. The record is from RNAcentral.
GUGGGGAAUAUUGGACAAUGGGCGAAAGCCUGAUCCAGCCAUGCCGCGUGUGUGAAGAAGGUCUUCGGAUUGUAAAGCACUUUAAGUUGGGAGGAAGGGCAGUAAGUUAAUACCUUGCUGUUUUGACGUUACCGACAGAAUAAGCACCGGCUAACUUCGUGCCAGCAGCCGCGGUAAUACGAAGGGUGCAAGCGUUAAUCGGAAUUACUGGGCGUAAAGCGCGCGUAGGUGGUUUUGUAAGUUGGAGGUGAAAUCCCCGGGCUCAACCUGGGAACUGCCUCCAAAACUGCAUGACUAGAGUACGGUAGAGGGUAGUGGAAUUACCUGUGUAGCGGUGAAAUGCGUAGAUAUAGGAAGGAACACCAGUGGCGAAGGCGACUACCUGGACUGAUACUGACACUGAGGUGCGAAAGCGUGGGGAGCAAACAGGAUUAGAAACCCGUGUAGUCC